UUGCACGCUGGCGGCAUGAUUUACACAUGCAAGUCGCACGGUAACAGGCCGCAAGGUGCUGACGAGUGGCGAACGGGUGAGUAAUGCAUCGGAACGUGCCCAGUCGUGGGGGAUAACUACUCGAAAGAGUAGCUAAUACCGCAUACGAUCUAUGGAUGAAAGCGGGGGACCGUAAGGCCUCGCGCGAUUGGAGCGGCCGAUGUCAGAUUAGGUAGUUGGUGGGGUAAAGGCUCACCAAGCCAACGAUCUGUAGCUGGUCUGAGAGGACGACCAGCCACACUGGGACUGAGACACGGCCCAGACUCCUACGGGAGGCAGCAGUGGGGAAUUUUGGACAAUGGGCGCAAGCCUGAUCCAGCAAUGCCGCGUGCAGGAAGAAGGCCUUCGGGUUGUAAACUGCUUUUGUACGGAACGAAACGGCUCUGGUUAAUACCCGGGGCUAAUGACGGUACCGUAAGAAUAAGCACCGGCUAACUACGUG
This 481-nucleotide ribosomal RNA is filed under the name uncultured bacterium. RNAcentral describes it as "partial 16S ribosomal RNA". It matches the Rfam family "Bacterial small subunit ribosomal RNA", at positions 30 to 507 of the family's 1533-position model. The record is from RNAcentral.